AGAAUCAACGCUGGCGGCGUGCCUAACACAUGCAAGUCGCACGAGAAAGGGGAGCAAUCCCUGAGUAAAGUGGCGCACGGGUGAGUAACACGUGAAUUAUCUACCUCCGAGUGGGGAAUAACCAAAAGAAAUUUUGGCUAAUACCGCAUAACACUUACGAGUCAAAGCAGCAAUGCGCUUGGAGAGGAGUUCGCGGCAGAUUAGCUAGUUGGCGGGGUAAUGGCCCACCAAGGCGAUGAUCUGUA
This 245-nucleotide ribosomal RNA is filed under the name uncultured bacterium. RNAcentral's name for it is "partial small subunit ribosomal RNA". It matches the Rfam family "Bacterial small subunit ribosomal RNA", at positions 26 to 285 of the family's 1533-position model. The record is from RNAcentral.